GGAGACGUAUCGAAGCGGUCAUAACGGGGCUGACUCGAAAUCAGUUUGCCAGCAAUGGCACGUGGGUUCGAAUCCCACCGUCUCCGCCA
RNAcentral lists this transfer RNA (89 nucleotides) under Bacillota bacterium. RNAcentral describes it as "tRNA-Ser". It matches the Rfam family "tRNA". From Rfam's summary of the family: Transfer RNA (tRNA) molecules are approximately 80 nucleotides in length. Their secondary structure includes four short double-helical elements and three loops (D, anti-codon, and T loops). The record is from RNAcentral. Lineage: Bacteria; Bacillati; Bacillota. RNAcentral also lists the same sequence under 1 other name.